GCAGUGGGCAAUAUUUUGACAAUGGGGCGAAAGCCUGAUCCAGCAACGCCGCGUGAGGGAUGAAGGCCUUCGGGUUGUAAACCUCUUUUCCAGCAGGGACGAAGCGAAAGUGACGGUACCUGCAGAAGAAGGACCGGCCAACUACGUGGGA
Molecule: ribosomal RNA, 151 nt
Filed under: uncultured bacterium
Lineage: Bacteria
Description: partial 16S ribosomal RNA
Rfam family: Bacterial small subunit ribosomal RNA
Source: RNAcentral